RNAcentral lists this ribosomal RNA (503 nucleotides) under uncultured bacterium. Its description in RNAcentral is "partial 16S ribosomal RNA". It matches the Rfam family "Bacterial small subunit ribosomal RNA", at positions 30 to 523 of the family's 1533-position model. The record is from RNAcentral.
AUUGAACGCUGGCGGCAGGCUUAACACAUGCAAGUCGAGCGGGGUGAUGGUGCUUGCACUAUCACUUAGCGGCGGACGGGUGAGUAAUGCUUAGGAAUCUGCCUAUUAGUGGGGGACAACAUCUCGAAAGGGAUGCUAAUACCGCAUACGUCCUACGGGAGAAAGCAGGGGAUCACUUGUGACCUUGCGCUAAUAGAUGAGCCUAAGUCGGAUUAGCUAGUUGGUGGGGUAAAGGCCUACCAAGGCGACGAUCUGUAGCGGGUCUGAGAGGAUGAUCCGCAACACUGGGACUGAGACACGGCCCAGACUCCUACGGGAGGAAGCAGUGGGGAAUAUUGGACAAUGGGGGGAACCCUGAUCCAGCCAUGCCGCGUGUGUGAAGAAGGCCUUAUGGUUGUAAAGCACUUUAAGCGAGGAAGAGGCUCUUUUGGUUAAUACCCAAGAUGAGUGGACGUUACUCGCAGAAUAAGCACCGGCUAACUCUGUGCCAGCAGCCGCCGUAA